GACGAACGCUGGCGGCGUGCUUAACACAUGCAAGUCGAACGGAAAGGCCCUGCUUUUGUGGGGUGCUCGAGUGGCGAACGGAUGAGUAACACGUGAGUAACCUGCCCUUGACUUUGGGAUAACUUCAGGAAACUGGGGCUAAUACCGGAUAGGAGCUCCUGCUGCAUGGUGGGGGUUGGAAAGUUUCGGCGGUUGGGGAUGGACUCGCGGCUUAUCAGCUUGUUGGUGGGGUAGUGGCUUACCAAGGCUUUGACGGGUAGCCGGCCUGAGAGGGUGACCGGCCACAUUGGGACUGAGAUACGGCCCAGACUCCUACGGGAGGCAGCAGUGGGGAAUAUUGCACAAUGGGCGGAAGCCUGAUGCAGCAACGCCGCGUGCGGGAUGACGGCCUUCGGGUUGUAAACCGCUUUCGCCUGUGACGAAGCGUGAGUGACGGUAAUGGGUAAAGAAGCACCGGCUAACUACGUGCCAGCAGCCGCGGUGAUACGUAGGGUGCGAGCGUUGUCCGGAUUUAUUGGGCGUAAAGGGCUCGUAGGUGGUUGAUCGCGUCGGAAGUGUAAUCUUGGGGCUUAACCCUGAGCGUGCUUUCGAUACGGGUUGACUUGAGGAAGGUAGGGGAGAAAUGGAAUUCCUGGUGGAGCGGUGGAAUGCGCAGAUAUCAGGAGGAACCCCAGUGGCGAAGGGCGGUUCUCUGGGCCUUUCCUGACGCUGAGGAGCGAAAGCGUGGGGAGCGAACAGGCUUAGAUACCCUGGUAGUCCACGCUGUAAACGGUGGGUACUAGGUGUGGGGUCCAUUCCACGGGUUCCGCGCCGUAGCUAACGCUUUAAGUACCCCGCCUGGGGAGUACGGCCGCAAGGCUAAAACUCAAAGGAAUUGACGGGGCCCCGCACAAGCGGCGGAGCAUGCGGAUUAAUUCGAUGCAACGCGUAGAACCUUACCUGGGUUUGACAUGGAUCGGGAGUGCUCAGAGAUGGGUGUGCCUCUUUUGGGGUCGGUUCACAGGUGGUGCAUGGCUGUCGUCAGCUCGUGUCGUGAGAUGUUGGGUUAAGUCCCGCAACGAGCGCAACCCUUGUUCACUGUUGCCAGCACGUUAUGGUGGGGACUCAGUGGAGACCGCCGGGGUCAACUCGGAGGAAGGUGGGGAUGACGUCAAGUCAUCAUGCCCCUUAUGUCCAGGGCUUCACGCAUGCUACAAUGGCUGGUACAGAGAGUGGCGAGCCUGUGAGGGUGAGCGAAUCUCGGAAAGCCGGUCUCAGUUCGGAUUGGGGUCUGCAACUCGACCUCAUGAAGUCGGAGUCGCUAGUAAUCGCAGGUCAGCAACGCUGCGGUGAAUACGUUCCCGGG
Molecule: ribosomal RNA, 1345 nt
Filed under: uncultured bacterium
Lineage: Bacteria
Description: 16S ribosomal RNA
Rfam family: Bacterial small subunit ribosomal RNA
Source: RNAcentral